RNAcentral lists this ribosomal RNA (490 nucleotides) under uncultured bacterium. RNAcentral's name for it is "partial 16S ribosomal RNA". It matches the Rfam family "Bacterial small subunit ribosomal RNA", at positions 30 to 507 of the family's 1533-position model. The record is from RNAcentral.
AUUGAACGCUGGCGGCAGGCCUAACACAUGCAAGUCGAACGGUAACAGGAAGCAGCUUGCUGCUUUGCUGACGAGUGGCGGACGGGUGAGUAAUGUCUGGGAAACUGCCUGAUGGAGGGGGAUAACUACUGGAAACGGUAGCUAAUACCGCAUAACGUCGCAAGACCAAAGAGGGGGACCUUCGGGCCUCUUGCCAUCGGAUGUGCCCAGAUGGGAUUAGCUAGUAGGUUGGGUAACGGCUCACCUAGGCGACGAUCCCUAGCUGGUCUGAGAGGAUGACCAGCCACACUGGAACUGAGACACGGUCCAGACUCCUACGGGAGGCAGCAGUGGGGAAUAUUGCACAAUGGGCGCAAGCCUGAUGCAGCCAUGCCGCGUGUAUGAAGAAGGCCUUCGGGUUGUAAAGUACUUUCAGCGGGGAGGAAGGGAGUAAAGUUAAUACCUUUGCUCAUUGACGUUACCCGCAGAAGAAGCACCGGCUAACUCCGUG